UCCCUGGUGGUCUAGUGGUUAGGACUCAGUGCUUUCACUGCUGCAAGCUCGGGUUCAAUCCCUGGUCUGGGAA
Sus scrofa (pig) is the source of this 73-nucleotide transfer RNA. It matches the Rfam family "tRNA". From Rfam's summary of the family: Transfer RNA (tRNA) molecules are approximately 80 nucleotides in length. Lineage: Eukaryota; Metazoa; Chordata; Mammalia; Artiodactyla; Suidae. The record is from Rfam.